RNAcentral lists this long non-coding RNA (810 nucleotides) under Homo sapiens (human). RNAcentral's name for it is "HSALNT0129388". The record is from RNAcentral. Lineage: Eukaryota; Metazoa; Chordata; Mammalia; Primates; Hominidae.
CUGUAACACUCACUGUGAAGGUCCGCUGCUCCAGUCUUGAAGUCAGCCAGACCACAAAACCACUGGAAGGAAUCAACUCCAGACACAGUGGCACAUGUCUGUAAUCCCAGCUACUUGGGAGGCUGAGACAGGAGAAUUGCUUGAACCUAGGAGGUGGAAGUUGCAGUGAGCCGAGAUUGUGCCACUGCACUCCAGCCUGGGCGACACAGUGAGACCCUGUGUAAAAGAAAGAGAGAAAGCAAAGCAAAGAAGGAAGAAAAAACAAAGGCUUUCUUUCCCUGUGAUGGUUUCCCUGUGAAAUGGAGUCUAGGGAGGAGAGGUGGAGUCUCGCUCUGUCACCCAGGCUGGAGUGCAGUUGCCCAAUCUCAGCUCACUACAACCUCUGCCUCCCGGGUUCAAGCAAUUCUCCUGCCUCAGCCUCCCAAGUAGCUAGGACUACAGGUGCACACCACCACACCCAGCUAAUUAUUGUGUUUUUGUUAGAGACGAGGUUACACCAUGGUGGCCAGGAUGGUCUCAAUCUCCUGACCUUGGGAUCUGCCUGCCUUGGCCUCCCAAAGUGCUGGGAUUACAGGCGUGAGCCACUGCACCUGGCAUAAUUUUGGCUACUCUUAAUCAACCCCAGAAGGUUUAAUAAGAACUUUGAUUAGCUACUUUCUAGCUUCAUGAAUUUACCAAGCUAUUCCUGGUUUUGCACCUUUAAGAAACUCAUUUUUUAAAUCUGAUGAAUAUAUGUCCAUAAGAAGCUUUACUUGGUUAAAAUUAAAUACAUACAAAAUUGACAGAAAAAUUAUUUUGUCAAAGAAAAAU